This 443-nucleotide ribosomal RNA is filed under the name uncultured bacterium. RNAcentral's name for it is "partial 16S ribosomal RNA". It matches the Rfam family "Bacterial small subunit ribosomal RNA", at positions 338 to 795 of the family's 1533-position model. The record is from RNAcentral.
CCUACGGGAGGCAGCAGUGGGGAAUAUUGGGCAAUGGAGGAAACUCUGACCCAGCAACGCCGCGUGAAUGAUGAAGGUCCUCGGAUUGUUAAGUUCUUUUCUUAGGGAAGUAGAAAGUGACGGUACCUUAGGAAUAAGCCUCGGCUAACUACGUGCCAGCAGUCGCGGUGAUACGUAGGCGGCAAGCGUUAUCCGGAAUGACUGGGUGUAAAGGGUGAGUAGGUGGUUUGACAAGUUAGUAGCGUAACUCGGAGGCUUAACCGCGGAAUGACUACCAAAACUGGUAGACUCGAUGACAGGUGAGGCAGACGGAAUUCGUGGUGUAGCGGUGGAAUGCGUAGAUAUUAGGAAGAACACCAAUGGCGAAGGCAACUUACUAAACUGGAACUGACAUUGAGGCACGAAAGCGUGGGUAUCAAACAGGAUUAGAUACCCUAGUAGUC